CGGACAGAGCCCGUGAAUCCGGGCCGGCGAAUUCAGGACCGAUACGCGCGCCUGUUACGCGGGUGCCGCGCGUCGGUUUGAUGUUUCGUCGGCCGUAUUUCAUUCGGACGUUGCGACCCGUUUGGUGCUGGUUUUUGUAAGGGCCGACGUACAGUUCGUCAGUUUAAUUCGUUUCGGCGAAUUAGUUUGACGAUGCGUCAGUUCCGAGCUAGCUAGCCCGACGGUAUAAGAAUGGUGUCCGGCUGCGGAGGACUCGUCCUCCGCUGUCCGGUACCGGUCGGUAACGAUUAUUCGGGCCUCUUUCCGACCCGUCUUGAAACACGGACCAAGGAGUCUAACGUGUGCGCGAGUCAUAGGGUGUCGCCGGCUGGUGGGCGUGUUCGCGCGCGUCUAUCAGUCGGCGUUAUACGAACGAAACCCGACUAUAGGCGUAAUGAAAGUAAUAUUUUUGUGCUCGUCACAAUAUUGGGAAGAUAGCGUUCCGAGUACACGUUCUAGACUUUCGAUCUAGACCGGACGCUCGCAUUCCCGGGGCGUUCCUUCAGUCCGGCGGUGUGCUACUUCGGUGGUAGGCCGUCGAACUGGGGCGCACUCGUAGCGUACACGUUGGUACCCGAAAGAUGGUGAACUAUGCCCGGCCAGGAUGAAGUCAGGGGAAACCCUGAUGGAGGUCCGCAGCGAUUCUGACGUGCAAAUCGAUCGUCU
RNAcentral lists this ribosomal RNA (705 nucleotides) under Crypticerya sp. 5 CMU-2007. Its description in RNAcentral is "eukaryotic LSU rRNA". It matches the Rfam family "Eukaryotic large subunit ribosomal RNA", at positions 386 to 907 of the family's 3401-position model. Lineage: Eukaryota; Metazoa; Arthropoda; Insecta; Hemiptera; Monophlebidae. The record is from RNAcentral.